This 307-nucleotide ribosomal RNA is filed under the name uncultured eukaryote. RNAcentral describes it as "partial 18S ribosomal RNA". It matches the Rfam family "Eukaryotic small subunit ribosomal RNA", at positions 592 to 976 of the family's 1831-position model. The record is from RNAcentral.
CAAUAGCGUAUAUUAAAGUUGUUGCAGUUAAAAAGCUCGUAGUUGGAUUUCAAGAGCCGCAUCUGGGAAACCAGCAUGCUCUCUACCAGCCUUUGGCUGUUACUGUGAGAAAAUUAGAGUGUUUCAAGCAGGCAAUUGCAGGAAUACAUUAGCAUGGAAUAACGAAUGUAUCUACAAUUUGGUUAAUUGUAGGUUUCGAUUAAUAGGGACAGUUGGGGGCAUUAGUAUUUAAUUGUCAGAGGUGAAAUUCUUGGAUUUGUUAAAGACUAACGUAUGCGAAAGCAUUUGCCAAGGAUGUUUUCAUUAA